RNAcentral lists this transfer RNA (71 nucleotides) under Marmota monax (woodchuck). RNAcentral's name for it is "tRNA.Ala". It matches the Rfam family "tRNA". Rfam says of the family: Transfer RNA (tRNA) molecules are approximately 80 nucleotides in length. Their secondary structure includes four short double-helical elements and three loops (D, anti-codon, and T loops). Further hydrogen bonds mediate the characteristic L-shaped molecular structure. tRNAs have two regions of fundamental functional importance: the anti-codon, which is responsible for specific mRNA codon recognition, and the 3' end, to which the tRNAs corresponding amino acid is attached (by aminoacyl-tRNA synthetases). tRNAs cope with the degeneracy of the genetic code in two manners: having more than one tRNA (with a specific anti-codon) for a particular amino acid; and 'wobble' base-pairing, i.e. permitting non-standard base-pairing at the 3rd anti-codon position. The record is from RNAcentral. Lineage: Eukaryota; Metazoa; Chordata; Mammalia; Rodentia; Sciuridae.
GGGGCUGUGGCUCAGUGGCAGAGUGCUUGCCUAGCACAUGCAAGGACCUGGGUUCAAUCCUCAGCACCACA